This 517-nucleotide ribosomal RNA is filed under the name uncultured bacterium. RNAcentral describes it as "bacterial SSU rRNA". It matches the Rfam family "Bacterial small subunit ribosomal RNA", at positions 11 to 507 of the family's 1533-position model. The record is from RNAcentral.
GUUUGAUCCUGGCUCAGAGCGAACGUUAGCGGCGGGCCUAACACAUGCAAGUCGAACGCGAAAGGUCUUCGGACUGAGUAGAGUGGCGCACGGGUGAGUAACACGUAGGUAAUCUACCCUUUGGCGGGGGAUAACGUUCCGAAAGGAGCGCUAAUACCGCAUAAGACCACGGAGUCUCCGGACGCUGUGGGAAAAGGUGGCCUCUUCUUGAAAGCUACCACCGAAGGAUGAGCCUGCGUCCCAUCAGCUAGUUGGUAAGGUAAUGGCUUACCAAGGCGAAGACGGGUAGCUGGUUUGAGAGAAUGAUCAGCCACACUGGCACUGGAACACGGGCCAGACUCCUACGGGAGGCAGCAGUGAGGAAUAUUGGGCAAUGGGCGAAAGCCUGACCCAGCCACGCCGCGUGAGUGAUGAAGGCCCUCGGGUCGUAAAGCUCUGUGGAGAGGGACGAAAACCCUGGUUUCAAUAGGCUCCAGGCUUGACGGUACCUCUUUAGCAAGCACCGGCUAACUCUGUG